This 117-nucleotide ribosomal RNA is filed under the name Haptophyceae sp. NIES-3900. Lineage: Eukaryota; Haptophyta. The record is from RNAcentral.
CCUUGAUUCUUAUAGCGUAAUGGAACCACAUGAUCCAUCUCGAACUCAUUCGUGAAACGUUACAGCGGCAAAAAUACUGGUGGAGAGAUCUGCUGGAAACCUAGCACAGUGUCAAGG